GAUGAACGCUAGCUACAGGCUUAACACAUGCAAGUCGAGGGGCAGCAUGAACUUAGCUUGCUAAGUUUGAUGGCGACCGGCGCACGGGUGAGUAACACGUAUCCAACCUGCCGAUGACUCGGGGAUAGCCUUUCGAAAGAAAGAUUAAUACCCGAUGGCAUAGUUCUUCCGCAUGGUAGAACUAUUAAAGAAUUUCGGUCAUCGAUGGGGAUGCGUUCCAUUAGGUUGUUGGCGGGGUAACGGCCCACCAAGCCUUCGAUGGAUAGGGGUUCUGAGGAGGAACGGUCCCCCACAUUGGAACUGAGACACGGUCCAA
Molecule: ribosomal RNA, 316 nt
Filed under: uncultured bacterium
Lineage: Bacteria
Description: bacterial SSU rRNA
Rfam family: Bacterial small subunit ribosomal RNA
Source: RNAcentral